RNAcentral lists this ribosomal RNA (339 nucleotides) under Triticum aestivum (bread wheat). RNAcentral describes it as "partial small subunit ribosomal RNA". The record is from RNAcentral. Lineage: Eukaryota; Viridiplantae; Streptophyta; Magnoliopsida; Poales; Poaceae.
AUGCAGGAUGAUAAGAGCAUUUGUCGCCAUGACGGAAUGAAAGGGUGCCACGACAACGAUAAUGGAAACGGUGCCACGACAAUGUUUCGGUUCCGACAACUCAUUGAGAUAUCGGUGCAAAAGAAGUGUGACGGGAGCGAGUCAUGCAAGGAUGGUGGAGUGAUCCCGGAUAGAGGGUCCCAUGGGUCAAUGGCAUGGAAACGAGCAACAUGCAAGGAACAACUCGGACAUGGUGCAAACAUAGGGUGCAUCUCACACACAAAUGCAUUCGGCGGUCGUCUCGUCAUUAUACCUUCGAAGCGUGCGUUUUCGGGGCGGAACGAGUUCAAUGCGGUGUAG